Non-coding RNA from Drosophila suzukii, 811 nucleotides. Lineage: Eukaryota; Metazoa; Arthropoda; Insecta; Diptera; Drosophilidae. The record is from RefSeq and is a predicted model, not a curated record.
UAGGAGGUUUUCCUGCACCUCUUUGAGAACCUACAGAAAUUAUAUUGAAGAUUGUUAUGUGGACUAAAUCGGGCAUGUCACAUGUUUUGGCAAAGUGUUACAGUAAUCCCACCCGUUUUACCGACCUCUUCGGGCAAUUUGGCUGGACCGGCGGCGAAAUUGAUAACCAUGUUUUCGAAGUUAUGGAGCGUGUGCGAUCUGUGAACCUCUCUGGGAAGCCGCUAAAUAUUGACUAAAGUGUUGAGCAGCCAGUAUUCCCAGUCGCUGAUAAACGAGACGAAGGCAGCGGAAAGAACAGCAACAAGUCACCGGGUAAUAAACAAAACGCGUGCGGAAAAACAGACUCAAACUCGCCCGACUGGACAACGAACUCGGUUGGCCCAGGGACGGAAUGCUCCGAAUAGAGGGUAUUUACACUGGAACCUCAGAUUUUCGACUGCGCCCCUGGACAAUCCACGAAGCCAGACAAAGACCGGCGGUACGGCGAAUUCGAUCAAAACAAGUCGGCAAACCGCACAGCGAACAUAUUCGCAUAUACUAUAUGCAACGCACGAAAACAAAAUGCUCCCCAUGGGCCCCCUUUAACCCCCUUUUACCCCCUUUUUUCAAUCCAGCGCUGGUUGCCAUGCACUUUUCGAUGGCAUGACAAUAACAACCGAACGACUGGAUUCGCAGACGAGUAAACAAGCUGCAAGCAAAGUUUAUUUCAGCGGAAUAUUUGGCAUUGCAUUUCCCUAUAUACCAAUCACCAUUUAAGCACUUUGCUUAUACAAAAAUAAGUUAAAUAUGAUGGAUAAGUAUUUUACUUUAA